This 350-nucleotide long non-coding RNA is filed under the name Monodelphis domestica (gray short-tailed opossum). RNAcentral describes it as "lncRNA (ENSMODG00000038623.1)". The record is from RNAcentral. Lineage: Eukaryota; Metazoa; Chordata; Mammalia; Didelphimorphia; Didelphidae.
AGUUAACAGAAGAUAUCAUCAUCUCUGCCUACUCAUCAUAACCAAGACGUCACCAACGUAGCUGGGGCCGCAGGAUCCUGCCUUGGUUGGGUCACAGCGUCUUCUCCUGGUUGUCCACUAUGAGCUCCCCAGCACAGCCAGUGCCAUUGAGGACUGGAGAUAUCUUCUGGCUCAACCUCUUCACAACACCCUGGGGUGGGGGAUCCAUGCCAUAGAGACUCUGUGACUUGCCCAGGUUGAUUGAGUAAAUUUCCUUGAAAUUAUCUUUUCAGUCCAAUUGAAGGUAUUGUACUGUAAAUACAUUGUCCCUGCCCUUGAAGAGCUUAUCUUUCAUUGGAGGAAGUGACUGA